Molecule: ribosomal RNA, 228 nt
Filed under: uncultured bacterium
Lineage: Bacteria
Description: partial 16S ribosomal RNA
Rfam family: Bacterial small subunit ribosomal RNA
Source: RNAcentral
CUUAUAAAAGACGACCUCAGUUCGGAUUGAAGGCUGAAAUUCGCCUUCAUGAAGUCGGAAUUGCUAGUAAUGGCAGGUCAGCAUACUGCCGUGAAUACGUUCCCGGGCCUUGUACACACCGCCCGUCACACCAUGAGAGUUGGAGAUACCCGAAGCCUAUGAGCUAACUUUUAGAGGCAGUAGUCGAAGGUAGAAUCAAUGAUUGGGGUGAAGUCGUAACAAGGUAAC